GUCUACAGCCCUGCUACCCUGAACAAGCUCAAUCAUGUCUAAUCUCAGAAGCUAAGCAGGGUUGGGCCUGGUUAGUAUGUGGAUGGGAGACCACCUAGAAAGACCAGGUGCUAUAGUCG
RNAcentral lists this ribosomal RNA (119 nucleotides) under Pteropus alecto (black flying fox). Lineage: Eukaryota; Metazoa; Chordata; Mammalia; Chiroptera; Pteropodidae. The record is from RNAcentral.